This 22283-nucleotide long non-coding RNA is filed under the name Ananas comosus (pineapple). RNAcentral's name for it is "long non-coding RNA (ACOM_LNC001231)". The record is from RNAcentral. Lineage: Eukaryota; Viridiplantae; Streptophyta; Magnoliopsida; Poales; Bromeliaceae.
ACAUAAGCUCGAAGUAAAACAACUACCUGUAGUAGGGUGCCUCUAGCUCUGUCAGUCGGGUAGGGCUCUAACUCGCGACGCCCUUGCCUCGAUCCUGAUCCGCGGAAGGCGCAGCAGCUAAAACCUGUGGCUCUGCAAAACAGGGGUAACAACUGGGCGUGAGAACUACUAUAAAAACAAGUAGUCCUCAGUGGGUGCCGCCCAAAACAACAUCAGUCCACCCACUAAGUCUACAGAAGGGAGCAAGAAUAGUAGUAAAUGCAGGAAUAAAGUCUACCGCUAUCAAACACUACAUUAUCAUGCUCUACACUAACCAACUGUAAAAAAAUGUCCAAUCUGACCCAAUCCAAUCGGGACUGUAAGCAUACCCGUCCCCGGGACUGUGAAUACACCCGUCCCUGCCCCGUUGCGACUAUCGGGCUCUAUCCACACUAACUGGUCCGUAGAGAGCAAGUCCAACUGGCAUGAGCGACACCAACGCGAAAGCACAAAGCCUGACUCCGGAGUGGCACUCGUGGGCGCUACCCAACCGAGUAUGCAGCGUAUCUCUGUCGAGCUCAAACAGGCUCUGAAAAGCCAAAGUCAAGUAACCGACUCAAACUGGUCUAACCACCAACAGGUAAUGUGCCCUCGGCACAAUCUGACGCCAAAAAGGCGAUACGGGUCCACCGUCAACUCUGACGGCACCCACCAGUCGGGAACAACCUGAACGAUCCUGUAAAAAUCCACUCGGCGCACCAGCACGAGCGUAAAUGUAAUCUAAACUACCUGGAGUACUCGUCUCGAAAAUACUGCGACAGUACAAUUUAAUAACGGCUCCUAGAGCUAAAUCAGGCAGUUUAAACGAGUGACAGGUCCAAAUCGCAGGUUUUCUCCUAAUUCAAUUUCCAAGUCCAACAUGUAUAACCUACUUAAUUUAUUACCACAUGCUCCAAAUUCAGAUUUGCAAUCUACGAUAUAAUCCAUGAAUUCGAGCUAGAAUAGAGUAUCCAAAGGUCGAAAAUUAUACAUGCCGACGAAUAUGAACUUAGGAGUAAAAACCGAUGUAACCCACCUCUCAAGCAACUCCUGGCAGCGAAGAAAACGUUAAAUCCGACCAAGCUAACCUUAUCCAAAUUCAGCAAACAAGGGUCCUGAAGCUUUGUCUUGAAGUCACGAAUCCAAUGGCCCAGGUUUCGCUGAAUUCUGACGCUCCUACGCAGAGAACGGGCCAGAAUACGAAACGUCGACGCUGGAACCUGCGAAACAGCAUCUCUGAAAUCUGCUCGGCAAACAACAGCCUAGUAAAACUAGGGUUUGACAGGGCAAACCUGCUCCAAAAAUCGCGAUCUUGGGCUCAGAAUCUUCGUCUCGAAGUCGCGAAUCUAACACGUCAAAUUUCGUCGCGUUUCGACACUCCUACACAGAGAACUAGGUAAAACACGGCGGGUCGAUGCUGGAAUCAGCAAUCAGCACUUCAGAGUCUGCUCGGCAAACAGCAACUCAGUAAAAAGAGAUUUCAACAGAGAAAACCUUCUCCAAAUUGGGCGAGUAAGGAUCCUAUGAAUUCGUCUCGAAGUCCCGGUUCCAACGAACCAAAUCUCGUCGAAAUCCGAUGCUCCUACGUCGCGUACGAGCUGAAAUACUAACAGUCGACGACAAGAUCCUGCGAAUCAGCACUUAAGCUCGAAUUGAAUGAAGCUUGAAGUAGAGAAGAAAUCCAUAGAGGAAUGAGAGAUUACCCACCUCAACCAGCGACUCCAAUUCCGGCACGGCGUCGAGAACGACGAAAACACUCCCUCGCCCGGCCUCCUCGCUAAACUACGGCGACGCACGUAUGCUCGGACGGCUCGGCGACGCGACGUCGGCGACGAACGCUCCACCCAAGCUCCUCCUCCUUGCGUAUGGCUCCAGAGACAGAUAGGGAGGAAAUUUAAUUAAAGAGGUGUUGGUUGCAACCCUCAAUUAAAAUGGAUAAGCAUGCAUGCAUGGGAGGGGGGUACGUGGCAGCAUCCAUAUAUAUAUAUAUAUAUAUAUAUAUAUAUAUAUGAGGAUACUACAUUCUGAGAGCCCAAUUCCCAUGUUCUUUACAACUCAAUAUCUUGCAAAGCACAGUAACAACUGGUUUAUUCUAAUUCUCAGUUAUUUUCAUCUUAGUUUUAUUAAGUCAGUUUCAUUCUGUGGAAUUAAACACAAAUAUUUAGAUCUGACCGUUAGCGGAAGCUUGUCGGGUCUUUGUCGCACACGAUCGAUCCGGAAUUAACGGAGGUUGGAUUACGGACCCGUCAUAAUCGGAGGUCUUGCUAUGAUCAGCUUUGCGGUAGACCUAACUACGAACGAGUUUACGUCUUGAUUCCAUUGUUCAAGAUUCCUUGGAACCCUUGAUGUGAAUGGAGAAUGCGGAUGUAAAUUUUCGUCCACAACCCCUUUGAUGGGAUUUAAUCUUAUACCAACUCUUUAUGUAUCAGGCUCUUAAUGCCAACCGUUGAUGUGAAUGGAAAAGCUGAUUUUCUUUGGAACUAAAAGGACAAAAAAUUUUAAAAAUUUUUUUAUGAAAAAACUAUUUUUUCGAAACUAUUUUUUCACGCUUUUUCGAAAAACCGAAUAACCCCUUAUAAAUAUUAUCUGAAGCUGUUAGGGAGAUAAGUGCCUCAUCUUUCAAUUUUUUAGCAGGACGAAUAUCUGAUCAAGUUUUAGGAUCAAAUCAGGUGAUGCGCACAUUUGAUCCGACCCAUCCAACCAAAUUCUAACUCGUCCAAUCCUGGCUUGACUUGGACUGAAUUUAUCAAAUCUAUUUAGCCUAAUUUCCGUACUACCACAUUAAAUUUGUACCACGUGCUGAGAGUGGAUAGCACAUGUAAAGGGAGCAUAUUGGCUUCCUUUUUGUUCGAAAAUUAUUAGGAACUAAUUAUAUCGGAGAUAGAUAAGUACGAAUAUGAGUUUUUGUAAGAAUAAAAAUAUUUUUUUAUUUAGAUAAAAAUAUGAGAAUAAGAUGGAAUUAGAAAAAUUAUGUUUGGAUGGUUAUUGGGAAUAAGAGGAUUAAUUGUUAGUUAUAAAUAAAAAAUAAUGAUAUUACCCAUAUAAUUGAAUUUAAAUUUUUAAAUUUUAAAUUUAUAAUUUUAAAAUAAAAAUUAAANCCUCUGUCUGUGGGUGAAAAGCAGUGCUGAAAUGUAACUGAGUCCCCAAAGUUGUCUGUAAACUCCUCCAGAAAUGCGACACAAACCUCGGGUUUCGGUCUGAUACAAUCGAUACUGACACGCCGUGCAGCCUGAUGAUCUCAUCAAGGUAUAGCUGCGCGAGUCUCUCUCUGGACCAGAUGGUCUGAACCCGUAAGAAGUGAGCAGACUUGGUCAGUUUGUCCACUAUCACCCAAAUCGCAUCAAAGCCACCCUGCGCUCUAGGCAAUACCACGACAAAGUCCAUCGUAAUCUACUCCCACUUCCACUCGGGCACUGGCAGACUCUGAAGCUUGCCAGCAGGUACCUGAUGCUCGUCCUUCACCUGUUAACAAGUCAAACACUGAGCCACAUAUCUGCCAAUGUCUCUCUUCAUUCCAUUCCACUAAAACUGUGCCUUUAAGUCCUUAUACAUCUUGGUUCCACCUGGGUGUACUGUAUAAGGUGAACAAUGAGCCUCUCUCAAGAUGUCAUCUCGGAUCCCUGAAUCCACCGGCAUACACAGUCGGUUCCUGUACCGCAGUACUCCCGAACUGUCCAAAGAAAACCCUCAGUCUGCCCCUCCGUCUGGCUGCUCUCUAAUCCUGAACAAGUACGGAUCUCCACUCUGUUUCUCUCGGAUCCUAUCCAACAGAGUGGGCUGUAAAACUAGAGACGUCAGCCUCGCCGUAGACCCAGGGGUACUAUCUCGAGUCCCAGCCGCUGUAGCUCCUCGAGUUGGGGUCUCUGCUUAGUGAUCCUCAAACUCAGGCUCUGCACUGCCUUCCUGCUCAACGCAUCUGCCACCACAUUCGCCCUGCCGGGAUGAUACUGAAUACUAAUGUCAUAGUCCUUCAGUAACUCCAACCACCGGCGCUGCCUCAGGUUCAGCUCCCUCUGUGUGAACAGAUACUUGAGACUUUUAUGAUCGGUGAAGACCUCGCAGUGCUCGCCGUACAAGUAAUGCCGCCAGAACUUCAAAGCAAAGACUACCGCUGCAAGCUCCAAAUCAUGCGCAGGGUAAUUCUUCUCAUAAUCCUUUAACUGCCAUGAAGCAUAAGCAAUCACCCUACCAUGCUGCAUCAGCACGCAACCAAGUCCACUGUGCGAUGCAUCACUGUAGAUCACGAAUCCCUAGACUGAUUUUUCGGACUCGUACGCGGCAUUAUGAGUUCACGGAUGCUUUUGGAUUGACGAAUGCCCUGCCGAUUCAUGGUUUUGGAUGAAUAGAGUGUUCAAGCCAUCUUGAUAGGUUUGUGGUAGUCUUCAUCAUGAUAUCCUAAUAUACAUCCCGGGAAUGAUCUGAGCAGAGGAGCACUUCGAGGAUUGUGCUAACAGCUUCUGCGAGCGAGAAAGAAGUUUGUAUACUAAGUUAAAAGAAGUGGCGAGUUCUGGCUACGGGAAGUUGCUUUCUAGCCACGUGAUUUUCAGCUGAGGGCGUUUAGCCAGUGCCAAGAAGAUUGAGGCGAUUCGAGAUUGGCCUAGACCAACGACGGUGACGGAGGUACGGAGCUUCCUGGGACUGGCAGGAUAUUACGUCAGUUUGUGGAAGGCUUUGCGAAGCUUUCCACACCACCCCUCACACGCUUGACGGCGGAAGGGGAUUCGUUUUGUCUUGAGCGACGACUGUCAGAGGAGCUUUGACGAGUUGAGGUUGAGGUUGACGUCGGCUCCUAUCCUUGCCCUUCCGGUGAUGGGGGAUGGAUUCGUGAUCUACAGUGAUGCAUCGCACAGUGGAACUUGUUGCGUUGCUGAUGGCAGCAUGGUAGGGUGAUUGCUUAUGCUUCAUGCAGUUAAAGGAUUAUGAGAAGAAUUACCCUGCUACUGAUUUGGAGCUUGCAGCGGUACUCUUUGCUUUGAAGUCUGGCGGCAUUACUUGUACGGCGAGCACUGCGAGGUCUUCACCGAUCAUAAAAAGUCUCAAGUAUCUGUUCACACAGAGGAGCUGAACCUGAGGAGCGCCGGUGGUUGAGUUACUGAACGACUAUGACAUUAGUAUUCAGUAUCAUCCCGGCAGGGCGAUAUGUGGUGGCAGAUGCGUUGAGCAGGAAGGCAGGUGCAGAGCCUGAGUUUGAGGAUCACUAAGCAGAGACCCAACCAACCGAGGAGCUACAGCGCUGGGACUCGAGAUAGUACCCCUGGGUCUACGGCGAGGCUGACGUCUCAGUUUUACAGCCCACUCUGUUGGAUAGGAUCGAUAGAAACAGAGUGGAGAUCGUACUUGUUCAGGAUUAGAGAGCAGCCAGACGGAGGGGCAGACUGAGGGUUUUCUUUGGACAGUUCGGGAGUACUGCGGUACAGGAACGACGUGUAUGGCCGGUGGAUUCAGGGAUUCCGAGAUGACAUCUUGAGAGAGGCUCAUUGUUCACCUUAUACAGUAACACCCAGGUGGAACCAAGAUGUAUAAGGAACUUAAAGGCACAGUUUUAGUGGAAUGGAAGAAGAGAGAGCAUUGGCAAUAUGAUGCUCAGUGUUUGACUUGUUAACGAGGUGAAGGACGAGCAUCAGGUACCUGCUGGCAAGCUUCAGAGUCUGCCAGUGCCCGAGUGGAAGUGGGAGUAGAUUACGAUGGACUUUUUGUCGGUAUUGGCCUAGAGCGCAGGGUGGCUUUGAUGCGAUUUGGGUGAUAGUGGACAAACUGACCAAGUCUGCUCACUCUUACGGGUUCAGACCAUCUGGUCCAGAGAGAGACUCGCGCAGCUAUACCUUGAUGAGAUCAUCAGGCUGCACGGCGUGUCAGUAUCGAUUGUAUCAGACCGAAACCCGAGGUUUGUGUCGCAUUUCUGGAGGAGUUACAGACAACUUUGGGGACUCAGUUACAUUUCAGCACUGCGCUUUUCACCCACAGACAGAGGGUCAGUCAAGAGCGGACCAUACAGACUCUAGAGGACAUGCUGGAGGGCAUGCGUCCUAGAUUUCUUGGAGGAGGAUGGUAUCGACAUGUGAGACUGGUUGAGUUUGCGUACAACAACAAGCUAUCAAACAAGCAUUCAGAUGGCUCCGUUUGAGGCAUUGUAUGGACGCAGAUGUCGAUCCCCCUGUUUUGGAGUGAUGUGGGUGAGCGGAGGACACUGGACCGGAGAUUUUACUUGAGGCUGAGGAAAAGGUGAGAGUCGUCCGCACACUUCUGACAGCACAGAGCCGACAGAGGAGCUACGCCCGAUAUCAGGAGACGAGACUUAGAGUUUUCAGGUUGAGAUCAUGUUUUCUCAAAGUCUCACCGUCCAGAGGGAUACGCCGUUUUGGGAGUACGUGGAAAGCUUAGUCCACGGUUUGUGGCCCUUUCGAUGUAUUAGAGCGUAUCGGACCGUGUGGCUUACAGGAUAGCUCUACUCCCCCGCACUUGCUGGCACCACGAUGUUUUCCACGUCUCAGCAUUGAGGAGAUACGUUUUCGACCCCUCAUCACGGAUUGACUUCACUCCACUAGAAGAUUGGAGAGGAUCUAAGAUACGAGGAGCGACCGGUGCGGAUUCUUGCUCGUGAGACGAAAAAUUGCGCAACCGGGUCAUCCCGUAUGUAAAGGUGCAGUGGAGUAAUCACGAGGAGAGGGAGGCGACUUGGGAGCCCAAGACGAUGAUGAGGGAGUCCUAUCCCGACCUAUUCGUUGCCCUGUCUUGAGGUAUAUUUUAAGUUUCGAAGGACGAAACUUUUUGUAGUGGGGGAGAAUUAGUAUCCUCAUAUAUAUAUAUAUAUAUAUAUAUAUAUAUUAUAUAUAUAUAUAUAAAUAUAUAUAUAUAUAUAUUAUAUAUAAUAUAAUUAUAUGGAUCUGCCACGUACCCCCCUCCCAUGCAUGCAUGCUUAUCAUUUUAAUUGAGGUUGCAACCAACACCUCUUUAUUAAAUUCCUCCCUAUCUGUCUCUGGAGCCAUACGCAAGGAGGAGGAGCUUGGGUGGACCGUUCGUCGCCGACGUCGCGCGCGGAGCCGUCGAGCAUACUGCGUCGCCGUAGUUUAGCAAGGAGGCCGGGAGGGAGUGUUUUCGUCGGUCUCGACGCCGUGCCGGAAUUGGAGUCGCUGGUUGAGGUGGGUAAUCUAUCUCUCAUUCCUCUAUGGAUUUCUUCUCUACUUCAAGCUUCAUUUCAAUUCGAGCUUAAGUGCUGAUUCGCAGGAUCUUGUCGUCGACUGUUAGUAUUUCAGCUCGUACGCGACGUAGGAGCAUCGGAUUUCGACGAGAUUUGUUCGUUGGAACGGGACUUCGAGACGAAUUCAUAGGAUCCUUACUCCCAAUUUGGAGAAGUUUUCUCUGUGAAAUCUCUUUUUACUGAGUUGCUGUUUGCCGAGCAGACUCUGAAGUGCUGAUUGCUGAUUCCAGCAUCGACCCCGUGUUUUACUAGUUCUCUGUGUAGGAGUGUCGAACGCGACGAAAUUUGACGUGUUAGAUUCGCGACUUCGAGACGAAGAUUCUGAGCCCAAAGAUGCGAUUUUUGGAGGCAGUUUGCCCUGUCAAACCCUAGUUUUACUAGGCAUGUUGUUGCCGAGCAGAUUUCAGAGAUGCUGUUUCGCAGGUUCCAGCGUCGACGUUUCGUAUUCUGGGCCGUUCUCUGGUAGGAGCUAGAAUUCAGCGAAACCUGGGCCAUUGAUGCGUGACUCAAGACAAAGCUCAGGACCCUUGUUUGCUGAAUUUGGAUAAGGUUAGCUUGGUCGAAUUUACGUUUUUCUUCGCUGCCAGGAGUUGCUUGAGAGGUGGGUUACAUCGGUUUUUACUCCUAAGUUCAUAUUCGUCGGCAUGUAUAAUUCUUCGACCUUUGGAUACUCUAUUCUAGCUUCGAAUUCAUGGAUUUAAUCGUAGAUUGCAAAUCUGAAUUUGGAGCAUGUGGUAAUAAUUAAGUAGGUUAUACAUGUUGGACUUGGAAAUUGAAUUAGGAGAAAACCUGCGAUUUGGACCUGUCACUCGUUUAAACUGCCUGAUUUUAGCUCUAGGAGCCGUUAUUAAAUGUACUGUCGCAGUAUUUUCGAGACGAGUACUCCAGGUAGUUUAGAUUACAUUUACGCUCGUGCUGGUGCGCCGAGUGGAUUUUUACAGGAUCGUUCAGGUUGUUGCCGACUGGUGGGUGCCGUCGAGAGUACGUGGACCCGUAUCGCCUUUUUGGGCGUCAGAUGUGCCGAGGGCACAUUACCUGUUGGUGGUUAGACCAGUUUGAGUCGGUUACUUGACUUUGGCUUUUCAGAGCCUGUUGAGCUCGACAGAGAUACGCUGCAUACUCGGUGGGUAGCGCCCACGAGUGCCACUCCGGAUCAGGCUUUGUGCUUUCGCGUUGGGUGGUCGCUCAUGCCAUUGGAGACUUGCUCUCUACGGACCAGUUAGUGUGGAUAGAGCCCGAUAGUCGCAACGGGGCAGGGACGGGUGUAUUCACAGUCCCGGGGACGGGUAUGCUUACAGUCCCGAUUGGAUUGGGUUCAGAUUGGACAUUUUUUUCAGUUGUUAGUGUAGAGCAUGAUAAUGUAGUGUUUGAUAGCGGUAGACUUUUAUUCCUGCAUUUACUACUAUUCUUGCUCUCCUCUGUAGACUUAGUGGGUGGACUGAUGUUGUUUUGGGCGGCACCCACUGAGGACUACUUGUUUUUAUAGUAGUUCUCACGCCCAGUUGUUACCCCUGUUUUGCAGAGCCACAGGUUUUAGCUGCUGCGCCUUCCGCGGAUCAGGAUCGAUGCAAGGGCGUCGCGAGUUAGAGCCUACCCGACUGACAGAGCUAGAGGCACCCUACUACAGGUAGUUGUUUUACUUCGAGCAUUAAGUACAUAGUACUUAACUAGCCAGUGCGAGUAACGGCUGUAUUUUGGAUUCUGAACUAUAUAUAUGAAGCUCUGUUGGUGUACUUUUGUUUACUCGAGCAGCUCAAUACUACUGUUUGUAUAUAUAUGAUUGCAGGUACUAUGUCGCUUCGUAUACAGGGGAAUUUCCUUUGUAUACGGCGGAUUUGUCGCAUGCCGGGGAACGUGACAUCCGGGGCGUGACAGUUAAAACUGAUCUAGGGUAUUUAAAGUUUUUAGAAAUAAAAUUUAUAUUUUUUCGACAUAGUUUACUUUAUAAUUAAAAUAUUUCAAAAUUGUCAAUUUAUCAAUGUCUAUUAUGAUGAAUUUGGAGUUUAACGUGUAGAAGAAUCUAAAUUUCUUCAAAUUUGAUAGAAAAUACUUUAACUAUAUAGAUUAAGGUUAACAUUCUUGAUCUUGAAUUUAAAAGUCUAGGCUCAAAUUUUAAAAGUAUUCAAUUCCCACCGUUCCAUUUUGACAUAAUUUAUUUACUAAGUAAACGAUAUCGAAAAGAACUAAAAUUUUAUUCCUAAGAACUUCAUAUACCCUAAAUCAUAUUUAACGUAUGGGAUCGUAUGAUUGAACGCUCUAAGAUCGAAAACAACACUAUAUGUAUGGGAGUCCCGUACUAUAGAUAGUAUAUGUAGCCAAUUCAAAUUUUUAUUAAUCAUAUUAUUAAUAAAAUUUAAUAAUUUAAUAAUUUUUGUACAACUUUUUUACCCUGUAUAUAAAAAUUUAAUAAUUUUUGUAUAUGAUAUUUUUUAUCUAUAUACUAUGAUGUCGGUGGAGCAAACAUGGGUUUGCCGCACCCGUUAUUUUAGAUUUGGAUCAGAUCAGACUCGUACGGCGCAGCACUUUUGGCUCAUCGGUAAAAAAUUAAUAAAUUAAAAAAAUAAUAACACCAUUAAUCCGAUCCCGCGCUCGUGAAAAAUUUACGGAAAAACCCCCACCCUUUUUGCGCCCAAGUCUCGCACGUGCGCUCCCUCAAGAAAGGCACGUGCGAAACUCGCCCCGACUGCGUUUUCACUCCCCCACAUCUCAUUAUUUACCGCACUCGACCACCGAUGCUGGUUACUAUAAAAGGCGCUUCUCCCCCAAUCGCAAGGAUAUCGUUCUCUCCUCUCUCCUCUCUCUCUCUCUCAAUCUCCGUCGCGGUGCUUCCCCUAAUUCGCUUCUCUCUCUCUCUCUCUCUCGUGGAGCUCUCGACCGGUCGAUCGCGAGCAAGAAGAGGCGGGGCGAAGGUCGGCUGUUGAUUGGANNNNNNNNNNNNNNNNNNNNNNNNNAGUGACCCGAGAAGAUUGAGGCGAUUCGAGAUUGGCCUAGACCAACGACGGUGACGGAGGUACGGAGCUUCCUGGGACUGGCAGGAUAUUACGUCAGUUUGUGGAAGGCUUUGCGAAGCUUUCCACACCCCUCACACGCUUGACGGGAAGGGGAUUCGUUUUGUCUUGAGCGACGACUGUAGAGGAGCUUUAGACGAGUUGAGACUUUGAGGUUGCGUCGGCUCCUAUCCUUGCCCUUCCAGGUGAUGGGGAUGUCUUGGGAACAUCCUCGGCCCUCACCCUCAACUGGUGGUAACCUGACUGGAGAUCAAUCUUCGAGAAGACAUAAGAUCCCUGCAGCUGAUCAAACAAAUCAUCAAUGCGCGGCAAGGGAUACUUAUUCUUGAUGGUCACUUUAUUCAGCUCCCGGUAAUCUACACAUAACCUGAGCGAACCAUCCUUCUUCUUAACAAAUAACACUGGCGCUCCCCAAGGCGACACACUGGGUCUCACAUAUCCCUUGUCCAUCAAAUCCUGAAGCUGCGCCUUUAGCUCUCUCAGCUCAGCCGGCGCCAUCCGAUAAGGUACCUUUGAGAUUGGUGUAGUUCCAGGAACUACAUCAAUCACAAACUCAAUCUCCCUCUCCGGCGGCAAUGUCGUCAACUCAAGGGGAAAUACAUCCGGAAACUCGCGGACUACUGGAAUAUCCUCGAGUCCCGGUGCCGUCGUAGGUACCUCCACAACUGUCGCUAAGAAAGCAAUACACCCGCUACUCAGCAUCUGUCGAGCCCUCGCCGAAGAAAUCCAUGGAGGAAUGAGAGAUUACCCAUGGAUCAUUGAUUUGAACGCCCGAAAAUCGAAAACAACACUAUAGUACGGGAGCUCCCGUACUAUAGAUAGUAUAGUAGCCGGACUCUAAAAAAUUUAUAUAUAAAAAUUAAUAGAUUUUUAUAUACGGUAUAAAAAAAAUUGUAUACCGAGCAUAUAAGACAUGAACCAAACUUUUUUAAAAAAUAAGUAUCGCGAUCAAUCCUAUUUUUUUAAUAGUAUACGAUAUGAACAAACCUUUUUUAAAAAAAAUGUUGUGCACGAAAUAUAAAAGAUACGAACCAAACCUUCUAUUUUUUAAUUUAAUAAUAUAAUUGAUAAAAAAAUUACAUACGAAAAUUAAUAGAUUUUUAUAUACGGUGUAAAAAAAAUUGUACACCGAGCAUAUAAUACAUUUUUUUAAAAUAAUUAUUGCAUAGAUUAAUCCUAUUUUUUAAUAGUAUCUUUUUUUUUUAAUAUUAUAAGACGUGAACCAAACCUUUUUUUAAAAUAAUUAUCGUAUGGACAAACCUUAUUUUUUAAUAGUCAAUAUAACAAAAUUAAAAUUUUAUCUAUUAAAUACAAUCUAUAAUUAAUAAAUAUUUUUGCUGUAUCGUAUGAACCAACCCUAUUUUUUAAUAGUAUAAUUAAUAAAAAAAUCCCAUACAAAAAUUAAUAGAUUUUUAUAUACGGUGAAAAAAAAAUUGUAUACCGAGUAUGUAAGAUAUGAACCAAACUUUUUUUAAAAAUAAUUAUCGCAUGGAUCAACCCUAUUUUUUAAUAGCAUAAUACAUAAACCAAAACUUUUUUAAAAUUAAUUAUCUCAUGAACCAACACUAUUUUUUAAUAGUUACUAUAACAAAAUUAAAAAUUUCAUCUAAUAAAUACAAUUUAUAAUUAAUAAAAAACUAAUAUAAUUUAAUUGUAUUUAAUAUUGUAAAAUUUCUAAAAUGAAUGUGCUUUAUAUAAAGUUAGCGCGAAAUAUUGUAUCUAAUUUGUCGGGAUAUAUUUUCUACUUCGUAUAUUACUAUAUAUUUUUAUAUACUCAUAAAAUUAUACAUAUCUAAAUAAAUAAAUAUUGUGCAAAUUAAUUAAAAUAUUUUUUUCUCGCAGCAUUGCGCGGGCCCUUAGCUAGUAUAUCAUAAAUUCAAAACACAUGCACCUACUACAAUAUAGUUAGAAAGCAUGCAUAAUAAGUUCAAAAUCUUAUAAUGAAAUAAACGAAGCGGGUAGCGUGCUACUUAUCUCUCAAAAAAAAAAAAGAAAAAAAAAGUUCAAAAUCUUAUAAUGAAAAGAUGAGUAUCAAGGUUUUUUUUCUCUUUGGUUUCAGUUGACGGUCAGAUAUUUUACCGAGUCGGUGUCAAGAUUCGAAUAUGAAAACUAUCUCAGACCCUACCCACCAAAGGGUCAGGUCCAGAUCAGGUCCGAGUGGGUAUGAUUAUGAAGUAUUCAAAUCUAUACCGGAUGCAUACCAAAAAUAUAAUAAUAAUAGAAGUGGUGUUGGGUAGGUGGAACCAGUUGUAUCAGUUGGCUUGAUCGACCAGACUACACACUAGAUCGACCGUCCGAUUGAUCUAAGCUGAGUCCAGAUUGCUAGAUCGGGGAUCUGCUCCAACGGUGCUCAAUAGUGGCUUGAUCUGAUUUUUCAAGUUCAAAACUACAACAUUCACAAAACAAAAAACCUUCCCUAUUCCAUUUCUAAGUCAUAAAAUUUUCCACUUAGGGUGUGUUUGGAUCCCUGUUAAAUUCCUUCGAAAAAAAAUUUUCGGUGGAAAAUUUGUUUUUCCUUGUAUGGUUGUCUGUAAAAAUUUUUUUGGAAAAGUUAUUUUACAGAUUUCUAGGAAAAAUUCAGCUUUUCGUUUUCCGCUUGCCGUCCGCGGAAAACGAAAAGCUACAGGAAAAUAUCGCGGCGUUUGGCGCGAAGGGGAGCAACGGGAUGACGCGGUCCACAAGACCACUUUGGCCUCGUAGACCGCGUCGGAGGGAGGUCCACAGCAGCCCUUGUGUUUCUAAUUUUCUAAUCACCCAUCAAGUUUGAUGGGUGGUUAGAAUGAGAGAGGGAGAAAAUAUUGGGGAGAAAUUGGGUAUUUCAAUUUCUCUUCUUAUUAAAUUUCUCUUUAAUAUCUCCUCUGUCUCUCUCAUUCUAACCACCAAUCAAACUUGAUGGGUGGUUAAAAAGUUAGGAGUAUAAGGGCUGUUGUGCUCCUAAUAGCACAGUAGUCCUGCUCUAUAUAUAUAUAUACUAGCUGAGUGUACGUGCAAAUACACGUAACAAUUAUUUUAAUUUAUUUUAAAUCAAUAUAAAUUUGCACAUUAUAUUUAUUUAAAAAUUUAUUAAUUUAUUAAUUCAUAUGUUAUAUUUUAUUAGAAAAUAUUUGUAAUAUUCUAUAUUUUUUUACAUAUAUUAAAUAUUUAUAUAUAUUUUUUGAUUUCUGAUGAUCUAAAAUUUAAAUAUGUGUUUUAAACAAAAAGCAUCAAAAUUUAAUUCAUAUUUAUUUCAAAAUUUAAAAUUUAAUUUUUAUCCACUAUAAUUAAAAUUUUGGAUAAGAAUGCUAUUUUAUUAGCAAAUUAUCAUUUGAAAUCCACUAUCAUCACAUUUCUCACACACUUUUUCAUAUGUCCAAAUCAAGGCUUAUAUAUAGAGUGAAAAGUAAUGAGCAGUGUCUUUUCAAAUAUGAAAAAAAGCAAAUUAUCUUUUGAAAUCAAAUAACUACCUUUAUUAUGAAAGUAUGUGUCCUUUUAUUAGCAACUAAAAUUUUGAAUUAAUUAAAUAAAUAUUUCUGCAUUCAGACCUUUAUUAAUUUUGCAUGAGAAAGACAAGUUGAGAUGACGAUGAUGGCACAGAGUGGAAACAAAGAAGAAGAAAGAACGGAGGACGGGAAGAGAGGGAGAUUAAAAUUAUAGUGGAAGAUAGGGCGGAGGAUUUAAUUCAUUUUUUUAAAAAAUUAAUUUCAAUUGUAAAAAAUAGUAAAAGUAUAUGAAAAUCCUACCAACUGUCAUGAAAUUAUUAAAAUAAAUUAACAAUUUGAUCCAAAAGUGACGUAAGAUUAUUGAGAGAAAACUAAAACUAACAUAACAAAUAAUUCUUUAACUCGAAAAGGCACGACAAUAAAUAUUCAUAAACGAAAUCAACUUUUGAACAUUUAUUUUCAAAGUAAAUGCAUUAUAAUAAUGUUAUUAAAGUAUGAAUAAUCUUGAUAUAUUGUCACGCCCCGGAUUACACUUUCCCCGGGCACGCCGACAAAUCCGCCGUAUACAAAGGAAUUUCCCCUGUAUACGAAGCGUUAGCUGUACCUGUAAAUCAAACACUACUACGAACAGUAGUAGAGAGCUGCUAGAGAAAACAGAAGCUAAACAAACUGAGUUUCAUAUACAUAGUCCAUAUCCAAAAUACAAAGCUACUCGCACUGGCGAGUUAAGUCCACUAUGUACAUAAACUCGAAACAAAACAUCUACCUGCAGUAGGGUGCCUCUAACUCUGCACGUCGGGUAGGGCUCUAACUCGCGACGCCCUUGCCUCGAUCCUGAUCCGCGGAAGGCGCAGUAGCCGAAACCUGUGGCUCUGCAAAACAUAGGUAACAACUGGGCGUGAGAACUACUGUAAAAACAAGUAGUCCUCAGUGGGUACCGCCCAAAACGACAUCGGUCACCCACUAAGUCUACAGAAGGGAGCAAGGAUAGAAGGAAAAGCAGGAAGUACACUCUAUCGCUAUCAUCCACUACACUAUCAUGCUCUACAUUAACCGACUGUAGGAAAUGUCAAAUCUGACCCAAUCCAAUUGGGACUGUAAACAUACCCGUCCCUGGGACUGUGAACACACCCGUCCCUGCCCCGUUGCGACUAUCAGGCUCUAUCCACACUAGCUGGUCCGUGGAGAGCAAGUCCAACUGGCAUGAGCGACACCAACGCAAAAGCACCGCGCCCGCCUCCGGAGUGGCACUCGUGGGAGCUACCCAACCGAGUAUGCAGCGUAUCUCUGUCGAGCUCAAACAGGCUCUCUAACUCAAGCCGAAGUCCAGUAACAACUCUGACUAGUCUAAAUACAACAAACAACGUGCCCUCGGCACAAUCCGACGCCAAAACGGCGAACCGGGCCCACCGUCAGUCCCGACGGCGCCCACUAGUACGAAACAGUCUAAACGACCUCAGAAAAAUUCACUCGGCAUACCAGCACGAGCGUAAAUGUAUUCUAAACUACCUGGAGUACUCGUCUACAGUAUGCUGCGACAGUACAAUUCUAUAACGGCUCCUAGAGCUAAAUCAGGCAGUUUAAUACAUAUGUCGAUUCCAAUCGCGUUUUCUCCUAAGUUUAAACCCAGUCCAACAUGUAUAUUUAAAAGGUAAUAAUCAUGUUAUAUAUGCAGCAUUUAUCCAGGAUAUCAUUAUGAAAAACGAACUACAACAUGAUUUACCGAACAGAAAAUCAUACAUGUCGACUAUUACUACACUUAGGAAUAAACCGAUGUAAACCCACCUUAGUCGCUAAUUCUGGCAGCAAAACACCCUCACAGCUGCAGCACCACCUGCUGGUCGAUCUACACCCUCCAAAUCCGGGAGUCGAGCUAACACCACGCUCUACAAAGCACAAAUCACCGUUUCAGUCCCAAAAUUCGCAACAGUCAGGUACAGCACGGAUUCGACCAAUCUAACCUCAACGAAAUCUGGCAAGUAAGGGCUUCGUGGAUUCCUCUCGAAGUCCUGAAUCCAGCGAAUCAAGCCUCGUCGAAAUCCGACGCUCCUACGUCGAGUACGAGCCGAAACGCCAACGGUCGACGCUGGAAAUCUGCAGGGACAGCAACUAGCUCGAAAUUGAAAAAGCUUGGAAAUUAGGAAGCAAUUCUAUGGAACACCCACCUCGACGGCGACUAGCACUGGCGCGACGUCAAGAACGGCGAAGAUCCACGCUCGCCCGGCCUCCUCACGAUGCAACGGCAGCAACCGUAGGUUCGAACGGCUCUGCGGUGCGACGUCGACGGCGAAAUCGGCUCCGCGGCGGCGUCCCUCGCGUGCUUCCUUGGUACGGCCGAACGAAAGAGAAAAGGAGAGAAGAGAGGAGAUAAACUCCUCUCUCUCUCUUCCCUGCAUGCAUAAAAGAGGGGGGGGAGGUGAUGCCACAUGGCAUUACACAUACUCACACAUGUGCACUCACACACACACACACACGUACCCUCACACACACACUUAUAUAUAUAUACUAAGUGUAGGGAUACUAGUAUACUACAUCCUCCCCCACUACAAAAAGUUUCGUCCGCGAAACUGAACGUACCUCUACUCAAGCAUCAAACAAGUAGGGAUAGGCUUCCCUCAUCACCGUCUCAGACUCCCAAGUCGCCUCCCGCUCAUCAUGAUUACUCCACUGCACUUUCACAUACGGGAUGACCCGGUUGCGCAAUUCUUUCGUCUCCCGAGCAAGAAUCCGCAACGGUCGCUCCUCGUAUCUCAGAUCCUCGCCAAUCUCAAGUGGAGUGAAGUCAAUCACGUGAGAGGGAUCGAAAACGUAUCUCCUCAAUGCUGAGACGUGGAAAACAUCAUGGAUGCCAGCAAGUCGCGGGGGUAGAGCUAUCCUGUAAGCCACCGGUCCGAUACGCUCCAAUACCUCGAAAGGGCCAACAAACCGUGGACUAAGCUUUCCACGUACUCCAAAUCUGCGUAUCCCUCGGGACGGCGAGACUUUGAGGAAAACAUGAUCUCCAACCUGAAACUCCAAGUCUCGUCUCCUGGUAUCGGCGUAGCUCCUCUGUCGGCUCUGUGCUGUCAAAAGGUGUCGUCGAACGACUCUCACCUUUUCCUCAGCCUCAAGUAGAAUCUCCGGUCCAAGUGUCCUCCGCUCACCCACAUCACUCCAAAACAGGGGGGAUCGACAUCUGCGUCCAUACAACGCCUCAAACGGAGCCAUCUGAAUGCUCGUUUGAUAGCUGUUGUUGUACGCAAACUCAACCAGUCUCACAUGUCGAUACCACCCUCCUCCAAAAUCCAGGACGCAUGCCCUCAGCAUGUCCUCUAGAGUCUGUAUGGUCCGCUCUGACUGACCAUCUGUCUGUGGGUGGAACGCCGUGCUAAAAUGCAGCUGUGUACCCAAGGCUGUCUGCAAACUCCUCCAAAACUGGGAUACAAACCUCGGGUCUCUGUCUGAUACAAUCGACACUGGCACGCCGUGCAGCCUAACAAUCUCAUCCAAGUAUAGCUGCGCAAGUCUCUCCCUGGACCAGGUAGUCUGAACCGGUAGGAAGUGAGCAGACUUGGUCAGUCUGUCCACUAUCACCCAAAUCGCGUCGUAGCCACCCUGCGCUCUAGGCAAUCCAACGACGAAGUCCAUCGUGAUGUGCUCCCACUUCCACUCGGGAACUGGCAGACUCUGAAGCUUGCCAGCAGGCACCUGAUGCUCGGCCUUCACCUGUUGGCAAGUCAAACACUGAGCCACAUAUCUGCCAAUGUCCCGCUUCAUUCCAGGCCACCAGAAUCGUGCCUUAAGAUCCUUAUACAUCUUGGUUCCCCCAGGAUGAACCGUAUAAGGGGAACAAUGAGCCUCUCUCAGAAUAUCCGCUCGAAUCUCCGGAUCCACAGGCACACACAGUCGGUCCCUGUACCGUAGUACUCCCGAACUGUCCAAAGCAAAACCCUCAGCCUGCCCCCUGUCUAGCUGCUCUCUAAUCCUCAACAAGUACGGAUCUCCACUCUGUUUCUCUCGGAUCCUAUCCAACAGAGUGGGCUGUAAAACUAGAGACGUCAGCCUCGCCGUAGACCCAGGGGGUACUAUCUCGAGUCCCAGCCGCUGUAGCUCCUCGAGUAGGGGUCUCUGCUCAGUAAUCCUCAAACUCAGGCUCUGCACUGACUUCCUGCUCAACGCAUCUGCCACCACAUUCGCCCUGCCGGGAUGAUACUGAAUACUAAUGUCAUAGUCCUUCAGUAACUCCAACCACCGGCGCUGCCUCAGAUUCAGCUCCCUCUGUGUGAACAGAUACUUGAGACUUUGAUGAUCGGUGAAAACCUCGCAGUGCUCGCCGUACAAGUAAUGCCGCCAGAGCUUCAAAGCAAAAACCACCGCGGCAAGCUCCAAGUCAUGCGUAGGGUAAUUCUUCUCAUAAUCCUUUAACUGCCGUGAAGCAUAAGCAAUCACCCUACCAUGCUGCAUCAGCACGCAACCAAGUCCACUGUGCGAUGCAUCACUGUAGAUCACAAAUCCUUCGCCCAUAACAGGAAGGGCAAGGAUAGGAGCCGACAUCAACCUCAAUCUCAACUCGUCAAAGCUCCUCUGACAGUCGUCGCUCCAGACAAAACGAAUCCCCUUCCGCGUCAAGCGUGUGAGGGGUGUGGAAAGCUUCGCAAAGCCUUCCACAAACCGACGGUAAUAUCCUGCCAGUCCCAGGAAGCUCCGUACCUCAGUAACCGUCGUCGGUCUAGGCCAAUCUCGAAUCGCCUCAAUCUUCUUCGGGUCCACUGCUACGCCCUCAGCUGAAAUCACGUGGCCCAAGAAAGCAACCUCCCGUAGCCAGAACUCGCACUUCUUUAACUUGGCAUACAACUUCUUCUCGCGCAGAAGCUGUAGCACAAUCCUCAAGUGCUCCUCAUGCUCAGCAUCACUCCGGGAGUAAAUCAGGAUAUCGUCGAUGAAGACUACCACAAACCUAUCCAAGAACGGCUUGAACACUCUGUUCAUCAAAUCCAUGAAUGCGGCAGGGGCAUUCGUCAAUCCAAAAGGCAUCACCGUGAACUCAUAAUGCCCGUACCGAGUCCGAAAAGCCGUCUUGGGAACAUCCUCGGCCCUCACCCUCAGCUGGUGGUAACCUGACUGGAGAUCAAUCUUCGAAAAGACACAAGAUCCUUGCAGCUGAUCGAAUAGAUCAUCAAUGCGCGGCAGAGGAUACUUGUUCUUGAUGGUCACUUUAUUCAGCUCCCGGUAAUCCACACAUAACCUGAGCGAACCAUCCUUCUUCUUUACAAAUAACACCGGCGCUCCCCAAGGCGACACACUGGGUCUCACAAACCCUCUAUCCAUCAGAUCCUGAAGUUGCGCCUUUAGCUCUCUCAGCUCUGCCGGUGCCAUCCUGUAAGGUACCUUUGAGAUUGGUGCAGUUCCAGGAACUACAUCAAUCACAAACUCAAUCUCCCUCUCCGGCGGCAAUGUCGUCAACUCAGGGGGAAACACAUCCGAAAACUCGCGGACUACUGGGAUGUCCUCGAGUCUCGGCGCCGCCGUAGGUACCUCCACAACUGUCGCUAGGAAAGCGAUACACCCACUGCUCAGCAUCUGUCGAGCCCUCGCCGAAGAUAUCCAGGUGGCAAACAGCGUGCUCCUGCAGCCUCUGAAAGUAAACUCCUCCUGGCCUGGCUCGCGGAACGUCACCGUCCUCGCUCCACAGUCGAUCGUAGCAUAGUACCGCGCCAGCCAAUCCAUACCGAGCACUACGUCGAAGUCCUGCAGCUGCCCUAACACCAACAGGUCUGCGGGCAUGAUCCAAGAGUCUAACUGCACCGGACAGGACCAACAACACUCUGUAACCUGCAAGACAUGGUCGGGGAUCUGCACCUCUCGUGCCUGAGACAACGCUCCUAACUCUAGACCAUGCAACAAUGCAAAUGCUCGGCUAACAAAGGAAUGCGAUGCACCGGUAUCAAAAAGAGUGCGAACUCUAAUGCCAGAAAUCAAAGUGAUACCUGCCACCACUCGGUCGGCUGCUGAAGAGUCCUCCACCUGAGCUGCAUAGACCCUGCCACUCGGAGCCUGCUGUCGCCGCUCACUCGACCGCGGCACAGACGAUCUGUCCUCCUGGCGGUAGCUCGGUGCUGCUCCGUAAGACUGCUGUGGUGCUGGUGGUGCCGAAGCUGAUGACGGUGCUGGAGAUGCUGCUCGGGGACAAGCUGCCCUCAUGUGUCCCGGCUGACCACAUCCGUAGCACCUGCCCUCUCUCUGCUCGCACUGCCGAGGCCAGUGUGGUCCCCCGCAGAUCACACACUGUGGCGUCCUCUGAGUCUGCCCCUGCUGACGGGAUCCCCUGGAACGCUGACGCCCCGAAGACCCACGACCCUGAGAACGUGAUCGUGGAGGUCUCGGCGGACGUCUGCUGCUCGACUGCCCUCCGUCAUCUGGAAAGGGGCGCUUCCUGUCCUGACCCUGCCCCACGGCCUGAGUCCUCUCCUGCAGCGACACCUCACCUCUCUCCACCCAUAGGGCCUGCUCUAUGGACGCAUCCAGGGUCCUCGACCUCUGCGCCCGCACUAACCUGAAGAUGUCCGGUCUCAGCCCCUGCUCGAACAUGUAUACUCUGUGCGCCUCGUCUCUGGCCGCAAAUGGUACACAGUUCAGGAGUCGAGUAAACUCCCGAACGUACUCCUGCACUGGGCGAUCUCCCUGCUGAAGCCUCCUCAAAUCCUCCUCGAGCUUCUGCUUCACACUGUUGGGAAAGAACAUCCCAAACAGCAUUCCACAGAACUCGUCCCAACUCAGCUGCGCCGCCACUAGCCCCUGGUCUCGCCUCGUCCUCCGCCACCAGUCAUGAGCAUCACCUGCUAGACAGUGUACUCCCAGGGGUACCUGCUCCCCCUCUGGAACGAACAGAUCCUCGAAUAACUUCUCCAUCGCACUGACCCAUCCCUCAACAAUCCAGGCCUCAGUGCCUCUGCCAUCGAAGAUCGGUGGAUCAAAUCGGCGAAAACGAGCUAACCUCUCCGUCCACCGCUCCUGCUCGGCCUCAGUCAACGGUACUGGCCCCCUAGCAGGCGCAACUGGCGCUACUGGAACUGCUGCCGAUGGAGGAACUGCUGCAGCUGGUGCUGUCACUGGAGUAGUCGGGGGUGGAACUGGCGACUCUGGUGCCCUCGGUACAGAACUCGGUGGCUGAGCUAUCCUCUCACACAACCUCUGCAAUAGCUCCCCCUGCUGUCUCGUCACCUCGGUCAGGGCAGCUAACUGUGCACUCAGAUCAGGGGGUGCGCUAGUCUCUGGUCGCGCACUCGGCUCCACAACAGGGGGUACACUCGCCCCCAGUCUGUCACCCUGCUCCUGCCGAGUACUCUGCUCCAUCUGCUCAGAUCUCUCAGAAGGUCCAGCAUGAUCCCGCGCCAACUGGGCGCGCUCCCGCAACGACGGUCGACCCCGGCGACGAUACAUAGCUGAAAGGAACAAUUCGGGGUCAGAUACAACAAAACACUCUCGACCCAAUCAAACGAAAGUCUAGAAGGCGGUCCCUGUUUCCCUCCAAAAUUAUGUCGUCUGCAGCCAACAUAAUUUCUCAGGCCGAAACAGAAACUCCUUCAGUCACUCACUCUGCUCUAAGAGGAGUUAGAACAAAUAAUCAUUGACUUUCGCAAUAAAAUUACGCCUCUCACGUCUUGCUUCCCUAAGGUUUGCCAAACUUAGGUUUCCUAGGUCCCCACGACCUACAGCAAAGCUCUGAUACCAACUUAAUCUGUCACGCCCCGGAUUACACUUUCCCCGGGCACGCCGACAAAUCCGCCGUAUACAAAGGAAUUUUCCCUGUAUACGAAGCGAUAGCUGUACCUGUAAAUCAAACACUACUACGAACAGUAGUAGAGAGCUGCUAGAGAAAACAGAAGCUAAACAAACUGAGUUUCAUAUACAUAGUCCAAAUCCAAAAUACAAAGCUACUCGCACUGGCGAGUUAAGUCCACUAUGUACAUAAACUCGAAACAAAACAUCUACCUGCAGUAGGGGCACCUCUAGCUCAGCACGUCGGGUAGGGCUCUAACUCGCGACGCCCUUACCUCGAUCCUGAUCCGCGGAAGGCGCAGCAGCCGAAACCUGUGGCUCUGCAAAACGGGGGUAACAACUGGGCGUGAGAACUACUAUAAAAACAAGUAGUCCUCAGUGGGUACCGCCCAAAACAACAUCGGUCCACCCACUAAGUCUACAGGAGGGAGCAAGAAUAGUAGGAAAAGCAGGAAACAAACUCAACCGCUACAAAUCACUAUACUAUCAUGCUCUACACUAACCAACUGUAGGAAAUGUCAAAUCUGACCCAAUCCAAUCGGGACUGUAGACAUACCCGUCCCUGGGACUGUGAACACACCCGUCCCUGCCCCGUUGCGACUAUCGGGCUCUAUCCACACUAACUGGUCCGUGGAGAGCAAGUCCAACUGGCAUGAGCGACACCAACGCAAAAGCACAAGCCUGACUCCGGAGUGGCACUCGUGGGCGCUACCCAACCGAGUAUGCAGCGUAUCUCUGUCGAGCUCAAUCAGGCUCCAACUAGCCAAAGUCAAGUAAUCGACUUAAACUGGUCUAACAACCAACAGGUAACGUGCCCUCGGCACAAUCUGACGCCAAAAAGGCGAUACGGUCCACCGUCAACUCUGACGGCACCCAACAGUC